GUGUUUGCAUUAGCGGCACAUAUGCUAAAAUUGGAAUGAUACAGAGAAGAUUAGCAUGAACUCUGCUUAAGGGUGACACACAAAUUCAUGAAACAUUCCAUAUUUUU
This is a small nuclear RNA of Choloepus didactylus (southern two-toed sloth), 107 nucleotides long. Lineage: Eukaryota; Metazoa; Chordata; Mammalia; Pilosa; Megalonychidae. The record is from RefSeq and is a predicted model, not a curated record.